CAUACGUGUAAGAUGAUCUGAACCCAUUGGCUAUAUUCUGUUGCACUUCGGGACACGGACAGGAAUAUUCUUGCCGUUUCUGUCUUAUGAACCAUCCCUCCUUUGUCCAAAGCUUAGCCCCAUUGUGAAAAUGAGCCCGGCCUGCCCCAGGGUGAGGGCCAGAGAGUGUGGACGGGCCAUCUCCUCCAUUCUGGGCACCUGGCUGGACCAGUACUCGGAGGACUUCUGUCAGCCCCCAGACUUUCCCUGCCUCAAGUAGCUGGUGGCCCACAUGCAGCUCAACAUGCCUGGUUCCGAUGUGGAGUGGCGUGCCUACCUUCUGCUGGCCCCGCUGGAGCAUGCAGGGCCCCCGCAGGCCGAGCCCGAGGCUGCUCCGCCGUCCGAGGAACUAGAGCCGGCUCCAGCUGCUGCUCUAGGACGUUUGGGGAGCCCGUUGCAGGAGUAGAAACCAGUCCAGCUUCCAUGGGGCUCUGUGAGGACAGGAACUGGCACUCAGCUCGGAGUCAUCACAGCCCUGCCUGUCCGUCCUCACUGUCCCUGUGCGUGCACAGCCCUGCACCUGGGAUGCAGUGAUGCAUCCCUGCAGGGCUCGGGAUCAACCCAGGGCAGAAGGGCGCAGCCCCCCACACCCCAUCCCACUCAGCCAGCCUCAACCUGGGGUGUGACCAUGACCUGCCCACCGGGCAUCUGACCCCUCAUCAGCCUGCUCCUGCUCGGGGUGGCCCCACCUUGCAUGUCCCCUCUUACACACACACACACACACACACACACACACACACACACACA
Molecule: long non-coding RNA, 786 nt
Organism: Ailuropoda melanoleuca (giant panda)
Lineage: Eukaryota; Metazoa; Chordata; Mammalia; Carnivora; Ursidae
Exons: 3
Source: RefSeq, a predicted model, not a curated record